RNAcentral lists this transfer RNA (55 nucleotides) under Heterakis beramporia. RNAcentral's name for it is "tRNA-Arg". Lineage: Eukaryota; Metazoa; Nematoda; Chromadorea; Rhabditida; Heterakidae. RNAcentral also lists the same sequence under 1 other name. The record is from RNAcentral.
AAAGUAAAAAUAGAUUUUCUAUGUUUAGCUACGGACUAAAAAGAUUUUUACUUUU